This is a long non-coding RNA of Fundulus heteroclitus (mummichog), 1009 nucleotides long. RefSeq lists it as uncharacterized. The transcript is spliced from 3 exons. The record is from RefSeq and is a predicted model, not a curated record. NCBI's taxonomy places the organism in Eukaryota, Metazoa, Chordata, Actinopteri, Cyprinodontiformes, Fundulidae.
GUAAGCAAUUGCUGUAAAUUUACAGCCAUUUUUCAACACUAAAAUACUGUUUUCAUGUUUAACAGUUCAGUACUGUAGUAAGCAAUGCAUUGUGGGCUUCUUAACUUGGAGCAACAGGACAGAGGCCGUAAACGGUAUGCGGCUGUUUUAAAUAACGGGAUACUACAGUAUUUUCCGGAAAAUUUCCAGAAGACGACUGCAGAACACACAACGUGCUACCAUCUGUCCUCAUCACAACGAUUCCGGUGUUGCAUCUAAAAAAUUUAACGGCGCUUCAUUGGUAUAAAUCCAGAGAGAGGGACAAAGGCCAAAAGGGGGAAGGUUGUCUCCAAGAAGAAAGGUGUGAUCGUCCAGAAGAAGUCUUCCACAGUCAACACACACGUCUCCAUGCUCCUGAAGAAACUCCUUGACUUUGAAUAGGACUUCAUAUAGAGUAUGGCUCCACUGGAAUAAUGCUGCAGAGGAACAGCGCCUAACAAACUGAACAUCUCUCCUGGAUCCACAAGAUUUGAAUCAGGGUGGUUAACACCCACCCAGAUUCCCGGGACUACUACUACUACCUCACAGGACUACUUUAGGAAGUAAAGUACAGUUUCUUCCCUAAAUGUUCUCUUUUAUCCAUGUUACUGUAAUGAUGUAUAAAUCCACAUGUUCUAACUGUACUGUAAUAGUUUUGAAAUGGCAUUGAUGCACUUUUUCAAAAUGUUCUUACGUUUGUUUUCAAAAUGUUGUCAAUUCUGCAUACAGUAUUCUGCAUUUUCACAGACAUCUGAAAAUACAUUGCAGAUUACAUAAUAUACAUCUUUUAAGUGGAGUUUAGAGGAAAUUUUAAUCUAUCUCACAGGACUAUUUUAAGAGGUAAAACACAUGCUGGUUUGCUGAACGUUUUUACUCAUAAUCAAAAAGGUCUUAAUGUUCCUACUUUGAAGUAGUCUUAAUAAUGUUUAAACUUUUAUUUCCUCUGUAUUUGUUGUGUUGGUCUUUUUCUUAGACCUAUUGUGUUAUUGAA